GAGUGAACGCUGGCGGUAGGCCUAACACAUGCAAGUCGAACGGCAGCACAGUAAGAGCUUGCUCUUACGGGUGGCGAGUGGCGGACGGGUGAGGAAUACAUCGGAAUCUACUUUUUCGUGGGGGAUAACGUAGGGAAACUUACGCUAAUACCGCAUACGACCUACGGGUGAAAGCAGGGGAUCUUCGGCCCUUGCGCGAUUGAAGGAGCCGAUGUCGGAUUGGCUAGUUGGCGGGGUAAAGGCCCACCAAGGCGACGAUCCGUAGCUGGUCUGAGAGGAUGAUCAGCCACACUGGAACUGAGACACGGUCCAGACUCCUACGGGAGGCAGCAGUGGGGAAUAUUGGACAAUGGGCGCAAGCCUGAUCCAGCCAUACCGCGUGGGUGAAGAAGGCCUUCGGGUUGUAAAGCCCUUUUGUUGGGAAAGAAAAGCAGCAGGUUAAUACCCCGCUGUUCUGACGGUACCCAAAGAAUAAGCACCGGCUAACUUCGUG
Molecule: ribosomal RNA, 493 nt
Filed under: uncultured bacterium
Lineage: Bacteria
Description: partial 16S ribosomal RNA
Rfam family: Bacterial small subunit ribosomal RNA
Source: RNAcentral